Long non-coding RNA from Zingiber officinale, 650 nucleotides. RefSeq lists it as uncharacterized. The transcript is spliced from 2 exons. NCBI's taxonomy places the organism in Eukaryota, Viridiplantae, Streptophyta, Magnoliopsida, Zingiberales, Zingiberaceae. The record is from RefSeq and is a predicted model, not a curated record.
GCACCGGAACAGAAGACCCGGACCAAAAGUCAACAUUGUUGACUUUAGUGAUCUGGGUGCCCGGAACAAUUCCGAGCGCCCGGACCAGUCCGGGCGCUCGGAGCCAUUCCGGGCGCUUGAAAUUGAAUCUUGACCGGAUCGCGGUCAAAUGCGAUCCGUUGCGAAGGGGAUAAAAUUUUAUCCCUUCCCAGGCGCCCCGACCAAGACUAUAAAUACAACCUUAGUCCAAAAACUUUUCAAUUCGAUUCAAGAAAUUGUAACAACACUUGUGCGCUUCUAUUAUUUUGUUUAACUUCCUUCUUUCUAUGCUUACACUGCUGUAACCGAGGCUUCUCCGCUUGAAGGAGAAUUUAAUGCGAUCAUCUUUUUUGGAUUAACAACCUCCCCGGUUGUAACCAAGUCAAAUCCGGUGCCUCUUCUUUUUGUUAUUUUCUGUUUAUUUAAUUUAUACAAGUGUUACUUUGAAAGUUCGUGAAGGGUAGUUUGUUUUUAUUUGUGCAGGCUAUUCAACCCCCUUCUAGCCGGCCAACGCGGUCCAACAAUGCCAACUUGCCAAGGAUUAUUUUUGUGUGAUUCUGGCUUCCUUUGGCUUCUAGUCACUUCCCUCAUUGGAUAUCAAUAAUGCCUUCAUGAGAAUCUUAAGGAAGAGG